CCUACGGGAGGCAGCAGUGGGGAAUAUUGGGCAAUGGGCGCAAGCCUGACCCAGCAACGCCGCGUGAAGGAAGAAGGCUUUCGGGUUGUAAACUUCUUUUAUCAGGGACGAAGCAACUGACGGUACCUGAGGAAUAAGCCACGGCGAAAUACGUGCCAGCAGCCGCGGGAAUACGUAGGUGGCAAGCGUUAUCCGGAUUUACUGGGUGUAAAGGGCGUGUAGGCGGGAGUGCAAGUCAGAUGUGAAAACUAUGGGCUCAACCCAUGGCCUGCAUUUGAAACUGUACUUCUUGAGUGCUGGAGAGGCAAUCGGAAUUCCUGGUGUAGCGGUGAAAUGCGUAGAUAUAGGGAGGAACACCAGUGGCGAAGGCGGAUUGCUGGACAGUAACUGACGCUGAGGCGCGAAAGCGUGGGGAGCAAACAGGAUUAGAUACCCUUGUAGUC
Molecule: ribosomal RNA, 443 nt
Filed under: uncultured bacterium
Lineage: Bacteria
Description: partial 16S ribosomal RNA
Rfam family: Bacterial small subunit ribosomal RNA
Source: RNAcentral